This 159-nucleotide ribosomal RNA is filed under the name Crotalaria evolvuloides. RNAcentral describes it as "5.8S ribosomal RNA". The stretch from base 17 to 159 matches the Rfam family "5.8S ribosomal RNA". Rfam says of the family: 5.8S ribosomal RNA (5.8S rRNA) is a component of the large subunit of the eukaryotic ribosome. It is transcribed by RNA polymerase I as part of the 45S precursor that also contains 18S and 28S rRNA. Lineage: Eukaryota; Viridiplantae; Streptophyta; Magnoliopsida; Fabales; Fabaceae. The record is from RNAcentral.
ACACGCGUAUCGGAAGGACUCUCGGCAACGGAUAUCUCGGCUCUUGCAUCGAUGAAGAACGUAGCGAAAUGCGAUACUUGGUGUGAAUUGCAGAAUCCCGUGAACCAUCGAGUCUUUGAACGCAAGUUGCGCCCGAAGCCAUUUGGCCGAGGGCACGCC